GACAGAGGGUGCAAACGUUGCUCGGAAUCACUGGGCGUAAAGGGCGUGUAGGCGGAUCGGCAAGUCGGGCGUGAAAUCCCUGGGCUCAACCCAGGAACUGCACUCGAAACUGCCUUUCUUGAGUAUGGGAGAGGUGAGUGGAACUGCGAGUGUAGAGGUGAAAUUCGUAGAUAUUCGCAAGAACACCAGUGGCGAAGGCGGCUCACUGGCCCAUUACUGACGCUGAGGCACGAAAGCGUGGGGAGCAAACAGG
This 253-nucleotide ribosomal RNA is filed under the name uncultured bacterium. RNAcentral's name for it is "partial 16S ribosomal RNA". It matches the Rfam family "Bacterial small subunit ribosomal RNA", at positions 524 to 776 of the family's 1533-position model. The record is from RNAcentral.